GAUGAACGCUGGCGGCGUGCCUAAUACAUGCAAGUCGAGCGAACGGACGAGAAGCUUGCUUCUCUGAUGUUAGCGGCGGACGGGUGAGUAACACGUGGAUAACCUACCUAUAAGACUGGGAUAACUUCGGGAAACCGGAGCUAAUACCGGAUAAUAUUUUGAACCGCAUGGUUCAAAAGUGAAAGACGGUCUUGCUGUCACUUAUAGAUGGAUCCGCGCUGCAUUAGCUAGUUGGUAAGGUAACGGCUUACCAAGGCAACGAUGCAUAGCCGACCUGAGAGGUUGACGGGCCCCGCGGAAACUGGGACAGGUUCAGAAAUCAAACGGAGGGCAACAUAGGGAAAUCUUCGGCAUUGGGCGAAGGCCUGACGGGGCACCGCCGCGUGAGGAAUGAAGUCCUCCGAAUGGUAAAACUCUGUUAUUGGGAAGGAACAUGUGGGAAGUAACUGUGCACAUCUUGACGGUACCUAAUCAGAAAGCCACGGCUAACUACGUG
Molecule: ribosomal RNA, 496 nt
Filed under: uncultured bacterium
Lineage: Bacteria
Description: partial 16S ribosomal RNA
Rfam family: Bacterial small subunit ribosomal RNA
Source: RNAcentral